RNAcentral lists this ribosomal RNA (253 nucleotides) under uncultured bacterium. RNAcentral's name for it is "partial 16S ribosomal RNA". It matches the Rfam family "Bacterial small subunit ribosomal RNA", at positions 524 to 776 of the family's 1533-position model. The record is from RNAcentral.
UACGGGGGGGGCAAGCGUUGUUCGGAAUUACUGGGCGUAAAGGGCUCGUAGGCGGCCAACUAAGUCAGACGUGAAAUCCCUCGGCUUAACCGGGGAACUGCGUCUGAUACUGGAUGGCUUGAAUUCGGGAGAGGGAUGCGGAAUUCCAGGUGUAGCGGUGAAAUGCGUAGAUAUCUGGAGGAACACCCGUGGCGAAGGCGGCUCUCUGGGACGGUACUGACGCUGAGACGCGAAAGCGUGGGGAGCGAACAGG